This is a long non-coding RNA of Taeniopygia guttata (zebra finch), 501 nucleotides long. RefSeq lists it as uncharacterized. The record is from RefSeq and is a predicted model, not a curated record. NCBI's taxonomy places the organism in Eukaryota, Metazoa, Chordata, Aves, Passeriformes, Estrildidae.
CGCGCGGGGGCCGCGAUCGGCCGCUAUCGGAUCGGCCGCGGGCUCCGAGCGCCCGGACCCCGAGCCUGCCGGCAGAGCUCCUGCUGGCCGCACCGAGCGCCCGCGCUCGCCGCCUUAGGUUCGGGGCUCUCCGGGGACGGGGCAACGGGCGCCGCCGGCUCCCCGAGUAUUUCGUUUCCAAGAACAGCUGUUGGGGAUGGAAGCACGAGCUGGUGUUCUAUCACUGAGCUCCGAUACAGCUCCUGUGGAUCCUGUGUAGCUUGGACAGUUUUCCUUCACAUAUUGGUCCUUAAAAAAAAUGUGCCUCUUAAUUAAAAUUUCUUUGCUAACUUAGUUUUCUUCUUUCUUUGUUCAUUACGUUUUAUAAGCCUUGAUUUCUACAGCACAGACUGUUUCCCAUUUAUGGGCAAAAUGCUUUACAUAUUUGGGUCCACUACUAGUAUUAAAGCUGUUGGAUAAUGCGGAGAUAAUAAUAAAAAAUUAGAGAAUUUUCAUUUGAAA